Molecule: ribosomal RNA, 426 nt
Filed under: uncultured Pseudomonadaceae bacterium
Lineage: Bacteria; Pseudomonadati; Pseudomonadota; Gammaproteobacteria; Pseudomonadales; Pseudomonadaceae
Description: bacterial SSU rRNA
Rfam family: Bacterial small subunit ribosomal RNA
Source: RNAcentral
GGGGAAUAUUGGACAAUGGGCGAAAGCCUGAUCCAGCCAUGCCGCGUGUGUGAAGAAGGUCUUCGGAUUGUAAAGCACUUUAAGUUGGGAGGAAGGGUUUCUGGCUAAUAUCCAGGAAUUUUGACGUUACCGACAGAAUAAGCACCGGCUAACUUCGUGCCAGCAGCCGCGGUAAUACGAAGGGUGCAAGCGUUAAUCGGAAUUACUGGGCGUAAAGCGCGCGUAGGUGGUUCGUUAAGUUGGAUGUGAAAGCCCCGGGCUCAACCUGGGAACUGCAUCCAAAACUGGCGAGCUAGAGUAUGGCAGAGGGUGGUGGAAUUUCCUGUGUAGCGGUGAAAUGCGUAGAUAUAGGAAGGAACACCAGUGGCGAAGGCAAUCCCCUGGGCCUGUACUGACGCUCAUGCACGAAAGCGUGGGGAGCAAACA